UACGGAGGAUGCGAGCGUUAUCCGGAUUUAUUGGGUUUAAAGGGUGCGUAGGCGGGAUGCCAAGUCAGCGGUAAAAAUGCGGUGCUCAACGCCGUCGAGCCGUUGAAACUGGCGUUCUUGAGUGGGCGAGAAGUAUGCGGAAUGCGUGUUGUAGCGGUGAAAUGCAUAGAUAUCACGCAGAACUCCGAUUGCGAAGGCAGCAUACCGGCGCCCUACUGACGCUGAGGCACGAAAGCGUGGGUAUCGAACAGG
RNAcentral lists this ribosomal RNA (252 nucleotides) under uncultured bacterium. Its description in RNAcentral is "partial 16S ribosomal RNA". It matches the Rfam family "Bacterial small subunit ribosomal RNA", at positions 524 to 776 of the family's 1533-position model. The record is from RNAcentral.